AAUCACGGUCGGACAUCGUGAGGUUAGUGCAAAGGCAUAAGCUAGCUUGACUGCGAGAGUGACGGCUCGAGCAGGUACGAAAGUAGGUCUUAGUGAUCCGGUGGUUCUGAAUGGAAGGGCCAUCGCUCAACGGAUAAAAGGUACUCCGGGGAUAACAGGCUGAUACCGCCCAAGAGUUCAUAUCGACGGCGGUGUUUGGCACCUCGAUGUCG
Molecule: ribosomal RNA, 212 nt
Filed under: Acinetobacter baumannii
Lineage: Bacteria; Pseudomonadati; Pseudomonadota; Gammaproteobacteria; Moraxellales; Moraxellaceae
Description: partial 23S ribosomal RNA
Rfam family: Bacterial large subunit ribosomal RNA
Source: RNAcentral